UAUUUCAUCAACUCCGUCUGAACUCAUCGCAGCCUUUUGGAAAACAUUAUAAUGGGAGAAAACAGAAGGAAGGCUUCAGAUUGGGGCAAUGACAUCAUUGAAAGGAAUAAAAAUAUUGGUAAGGUUAUCACACUCACAAGAUUAAUAUAUUCCAUUAGGUUUUGCUGUGGGUGGAUGGCUGUAAUGAGUUCGAAGAUGAUAAUUCCAAAACUGUAGAUGUCACUCUUCAUGGUGAACUCGUUUGUGGAUAUGUACACAGGGUCUAUGUAUCCAUAUGUACCUUUCAGACCAGAGUUGCGGCCAUCAUACGAUUCUUCCUUCGAAAGUCCAAAAUCAGCAACCUGACACAAGGGUACCAGAAAAAAAUGUCUUUCAAGAAGAGGGACAAAAAGAUUCAAAAAAUCAAGUAUAUCCUUGUCAAAUUUUAUGUUUCCAGGCACCUAAAUUCUCGAGUUGGACGCCUUAAACAAGAAGCUAGCUUUGCACAUUUUUCGGACUGC
This 500-nucleotide long non-coding RNA is filed under the name Ricinus communis (castor bean). Its description in RNAcentral is "long non-coding RNA (RCOM_LNC001953)". Lineage: Eukaryota; Viridiplantae; Streptophyta; Magnoliopsida; Malpighiales; Euphorbiaceae. The record is from RNAcentral.